CGCCUAGCAUAUCAAUAAGCGGAGGAAAAGAAACCAACAGGGAUUGCCCUAGUAACGGCGAGUGAAGCGGCAACAGCUCAAAUUUGAAAUCUGGGUCUUUCAGGCUCCGAGUUGUAAUUUGUAGAGGGUGCUUUGGUGUUGGCUGCGGUCUAAGUUCCUUGGAACAGGACGUCACAGAGGGUGAGAAUCCCGUACGUGGUCGACAGUCUUCACCGUGUAAAGCCCCUUCGACGAGUCGAGUUGUUUGGGAAUGCAGCUCUAAAUGGGAGGUAAAUUUCUUCUAAAGCUAAAUAUUGGCCAGAGACCGAUAGCGCACAAGUAGAGUGAUCGAAAGAUGAAAAGCACUUUGGAAAGAGAGUCAAAAAGCACGUGAAAUUGUUGAAAGGGAAGCGCUUGCAAUCAGACUUGCCUGUAGUUGCUCAUCUAGGCUCUUGCCUGGUGCACUCUUCUAUGGGCAGGCCAGCAUCAGUUCAGGCGGCUGGAUAAAGGCCUCUAUCACGUAUCUUCCUUCGGGAUGACCUUAUAGGGGAGGUGUAAUGCAGCCAGCCUGGAUUGAGGUCCGCGCAUCUGCUAGGAUGCUGGCGUAAUGAUUGUAAGCGGCCCGUCUUGAAACACGGACCAAGGAGUCUAACAUCUAUGCGAGUGUUUGGGUGUAAAGCCCGGGCGCGUAAUGAAAGUGAACGGAGGUGGGAACCUUAGGGUGCACCAUCGACCGAUCCUGAUGUCUUCGGAUGGAUUUGAGUAAGAGCAUAGCUGUUGGGACCCGAAAGAUGGUGAACUAUGCCUGAAUAGGGUGAAGCCAGAGGAAACUCUGGUGGAGGCUCGCAGCGGUUCUGACGUGCAAAUCGAUCGUCAAAUUUGGGCAUAGGGGCGAAAGACUAAUCGAACU
RNAcentral lists this ribosomal RNA (889 nucleotides) under Nigrograna sp. RNAcentral describes it as "partial large subunit ribosomal RNA". It matches the Rfam family "Eukaryotic large subunit ribosomal RNA", at positions 31 to 941 of the family's 3401-position model. Lineage: Eukaryota; Fungi; Ascomycota; Dothideomycetes; Pleosporales; Nigrogranaceae. The record is from RNAcentral.